AUUUUCUACUAGAAAAUUUUAAAAAUUCCCAUGCUAAUUUUUCGUUUCCCCCCAAAGACCAUGAUUUCACCAAAAUUUGAAGUUUCCUCUACAUCUUCACAACUUCACCGCUCUGCUUUCUCUAGUUGUGUUCUCCACCUCCAAAUGGACCCUCUUAUUCAUCGAUGGUCGCCGAAAUCUAUCACCUGCUAGCCAACCACUGUCGCCUAACAGUCGGGCAGCCUUUUCGUUUCACUCAACGAUACUUGUACUAUUCUCUACAGUUGCUGCCAUGUUACCCAAUAUUCCCCUCAUGUUACCCUCACUUUCAUACGGUUAGGAGCAAUGCUUAUAGUCGUGUUGUUUCAAAACUAGAAGGUCUAAAGAUGCGCACCAACUGCUCGAUGAAAUGCUUCACCCAAAUUAUAGAAUUAUUUUGAGGUUUUAAUGGAGCUAGUUCAUAAAUAAAAGCAAGUUUAUUGUUACUUGUAUGCUUAUUGUGCUAUGUAAGUAUCUUUGGGUUUGUUGUAAGCAUGGGGUUCUUAUUGGUUUAGCAAAAUUGCAUCGUUUUGUUGUAGUCAAUUGAUAUUUUUUUUA
This is a long non-coding RNA of Helianthus annuus (common sunflower), 576 nucleotides long. RefSeq lists it as uncharacterized. NCBI's taxonomy places the organism in Eukaryota, Viridiplantae, Streptophyta, Magnoliopsida, Asterales, Asteraceae. The transcript is spliced from 2 exons. The record is from RefSeq and is a predicted model, not a curated record.